GCGUCCGUAGCUCAAUUGGAUAGAGCAUUUGAUUUCGACUCAAAAGGUUAUAGGUUCAAAUCCUUUCGGACGCACCA
RNAcentral lists this transfer RNA (77 nucleotides) under Rickettsiales bacterium TMED127. RNAcentral's name for it is "tRNA-Arg". It matches the Rfam family "tRNA". Rfam says of the family: Transfer RNA (tRNA) molecules are approximately 80 nucleotides in length. Their secondary structure includes four short double-helical elements and three loops (D, anti-codon, and T loops). Further hydrogen bonds mediate the characteristic L-shaped molecular structure. tRNAs have two regions of fundamental functional importance: the anti-codon, which is responsible for specific mRNA codon recognition, and the 3' end, to which the tRNAs corresponding amino acid is attached (by aminoacyl-tRNA synthetases). tRNAs cope with the degeneracy of the genetic code in two manners: having more than one tRNA (with a specific anti-codon) for a particular amino acid; and 'wobble' base-pairing, i.e. permitting non-standard base-pairing at the 3rd anti-codon position. RNAcentral also lists the same sequence under 1 other name. The record is from RNAcentral. Lineage: Bacteria; Pseudomonadati; Pseudomonadota; Alphaproteobacteria; Rickettsiales.